RNAcentral lists this ribosomal RNA (707 nucleotides) under Pseudomonas sp. 8D26. RNAcentral describes it as "bacterial SSU rRNA". It matches the Rfam family "Bacterial small subunit ribosomal RNA", at positions 62 to 764 of the family's 1533-position model. The record is from RNAcentral. Lineage: Bacteria; Pseudomonadati; Pseudomonadota; Gammaproteobacteria; Pseudomonadales; Pseudomonadaceae.
UCGAGCGGUAGAGAGAAGCUUGCUUCUCUUGAGAGCGGCGGACGGGUGAGUAAUGCCUAGGAAUCUGCCUGGUAGUGGGGGAUAACGUUCGGAAACGGACGCUAAUACCGCAUACGUCCUACGGGAGAAAGCAGGGGACCUUCGGGCCUUGCGCUAUCAGAUGAGCCUAGGUCGGAUUAGCUAGUUGGUGAGGUAAUGGCUCACCAAGGCUACGAUCCGUAACUGGUCUGAGAGGAUGAUCAGUCACACUGGAACUGAGACACGGUCCAGACUCCUACGGGAGGCAGCAGUGGGGAAUAUUGGACAAUGGGCGAAAGCCUGAUCCAGCCAUGCCGCGUGUGUGAAGAAGGUCUUCGGAUUGUAAAGCACUUUAAGUUGGGAGGAAGGGCAGUUACCUAAUACGUGAUUGUUUUGACGUUACCGACAGAAUAAGCACCGGCUAACUCUGUGCCAGCAGCCGCGGUAAUACAGAGGGUGCAAGCGUUAAUCGGAAUUACUGGGCGUAAAGCGCGCGUAGGUGGUUUGUUAAGUUGGAUGUGAAAUCCCCGGGCUCAACCUGGGAACUGCAUUCAAAACUGACUGACUAGAGUAUGGUAGAGGGUGGUGGAAUUUCCUGUGUAGCGGUGAAAUGCGUAGAUAUAGGAAGGAACACCAGUGGCGAAGGCGACCACCUGGACCAAUACUGACACUGAGGUGCGAAAGCGUGG